This 466-nucleotide ribosomal RNA is filed under the name Erronea errones. Its description in RNAcentral is "partial 16S large subunit ribosomal RNA". It matches the Rfam family "Bacterial large subunit ribosomal RNA", at positions 1850 to 2577 of the family's 2925-position model. The record is from RNAcentral. Lineage: Eukaryota; Metazoa; Mollusca; Gastropoda; Littorinimorpha; Cypraeidae.
GAGUCGGACCUGCCCAGUGAAUAUAUUUUUAACGGCCGCGGUACUCUGACCGUGCAAAGGUAGCAUAAUCAUUUGCCCUAUAAUUGAGGGCUAGUAUGAAUGGUUUGACGUGAACAAAGCUGUCUCUAUGUAAUUUUUUAGAACUUGAUUUCUAGGUGAGGAAACCUAGAUUUAAUUGAAAGACAAGAAGACCCUAUUGAGCUUUAAAAGAAUAAAUUGAAAAUAAUAUAUAAUUUUAAAUAUUAAUCUAUUUUAGAUUUUGGUUGGGGCGACUAUGGAACAAAUAAAGCUUCUUUAUUAACCAAUAAGACUUACAAGUGUUGAUCCAAAAAUUUUGAUCAAUGGAAUUAGUUACCAUAGGGAUAACAGCAUAAUUCUCUUUGAGAGUCCUUAUCGAAAAGAGAGUUUGUGACCUCGAUGUUGGACUAGAAUAUCCUAAAGAUGCAGCAGUCUUUAAGGGUUGGUC